This is a non-coding RNA of Peromyscus maniculatus bairdii (prairie deer mouse), 2682 nucleotides long. Lineage: Eukaryota; Metazoa; Chordata; Mammalia; Rodentia; Cricetidae. The record is from RefSeq and is a predicted model, not a curated record.
GAUCCCAUUGUCUUGCCUGUGCUUAUGAAUGUAUAUUCACAAUGUGGGUAGAAGAAUCUGAACAAAAAAAAAUGUACUUUCCAGGUCUCCAUGGACAACCCAAUCCAACCAAGCUUAGGCACCAUUCCUACCCUAGGCCUUACCAUAGAGCCAUCAGGUCAGCACGUUUAAUGUAUGACCAGACACAAUGAAAAGGGUGAGACAGGGAGGCCAUGGACUUUGGCUUGUAGCUCCCAGGAUUAUUUACAAGGCUAAUUUUUGUUUUGAUGUUUGUUCUCACUAUUCAACUGACAUAUGGCACUGUUACAAAGUUGUUCUCAAUAAUGAGCUCAAGUGCACAGAAAAAGAUCAUUUGGGUUUUCUGGAACUUAGUUCAUUUUUCUAAUUGUCCCUUCUUUUUUUUCUUUUCUUUUCUCAGCAUUCUUUUUCUUCUAUUUCUCCUCCUCUCACCUUACCCACCUCCCCUGCUCACUCUCCUCCCCUCAUCUCUUUUCUUCCUUCUCUUCAUUUUUCCUUUUGAGACAGGGUCUCAUUCUAUAGUUCAGGUGGUCCCGGAUCUUACUAUGUAGCCCAGGUUGGCCUGGACUUUAUGGUAGUCCUCCUGCCUCCGCCUCCUGAAUGUUGGGAUUAUAAGCAUGACCCACCCUGUCCAGCUUGAAAGUUCUACACUUAAGAGAUCCAAUUACUUCAACCAUUCAAGGCCUCUCUACUCUCUGCCCCAGGACCAUGUUGCUGUCUCCUGUUUUGCUAAACGUAGUAUACAAUGUUCAUGGAACACGAUGUCCUCGAAGGGUAAAGAUUUUCCCUUUGGCUUGUGUAAGAGUGGGAAAAGCAGUGAACACCAGCCUCUCCAGUUCUUUUCCUGUUGCUCCCCAGGUGUACCUGAGUCCUGGGUUUUGACCAGUUGUCUAUAGUAACAGGCCUGCUGUGGCCAGAACAAAACGGAUUGCGGGAAGGUCAAGUGUAGUGAAGAUGGAUUGUCUAAGAGAACCUGUCUUCACUGAACCAAAGUGAGAGUUGCAGAACUCUCAGCUACUUCUCCAGCACCAUGUCUGCCUGCCUGCUGCCAUGCUCCCCACCGUGAAGAUAACAGAUUAAACCUCCGAAACUGUUAGUUCUCCUGACACAGAUUUCCAAUGAUGUUUACAUUUUAAACAAGAACCACUAGGACGGAAUAGCUCCGUUUGAAUAGAAUGUACCUUCUCAUCCUGAGCAAAAUGAAGGCAACAGCGGAAAAAUCAUCAAGUGUGUGCCGUUGUUUCCGACCGCAAGAGAAAAGAACUGUAGAAAGUUACGCUUCUCCUAUAAACUUUCGACAACAGUUUGAAGCUCCAGAGGCAGCUUUCAGUCCGUGAUUUACAAAACGUACCGCAACGCAGUGAGAAUAUUGCCAUUACCCACGAAGGGGAAGAGUCUACUUUCCCUCUUCUUGAACCUGGGCAAGAUUUCACGAUUGCCUCCCUUCUCAGAUGGACAAUGAAGGUGGCACAGUGCCUAUCACCCCAGCGUGGUGACCUUCCUUCUUGGAACCCAGCCAUCAAGUUGUGAGGGAUAUUUCACAGAACAACAUGAAGAGGAACCAAGUCUCCCAGCAUCAACCACUGGACCUGUGAGUGAAUAGGUCUUCAGAGGCUUCCAGCCUCCAGCCUGGCGUCUUCCGGGACAGUCGCUAGACACAGAGAAACUGAGACAAGCCACCCCUGUUAUUCCUUCUGAGUCUCUGGACCACAGAUGGCACAGGUCACUAUUAGAAGGCAUCCUUAGCUCACAAGUUUGGAUUGAUUUUCAAUACAGAUAUAAUAAUUGCAGAUGUAGUAAUACUUUAUCCUUGCAUAUCUUAGUUUUCUCAUCUGAGAAAUGGGAAUAACACUAUUCUGUUGGGUGGUUACCAAAAUUUAAUGUAUUCAAAUUAAUCAGUGUCCUUCCUGUGAAACAGAAUCUAAUGUUUGAUGAGCAGAGUAUUGUCCUGUGGAUUUUACAUGUUAUACCUUUGAGUCACUACAAUAACCUAAAAAUGUGUGUGUUACUUGAAUACUUUUUAUGGAUAUAAAAUGGACAUAGUAUGAAAUUAGCCACUUAUAAAGGGAGCGAUUCAGCCUUGCUUCACAUCUUAGCAAUGCUAUGUAAGCACUGCUAUUUAGGACCCAAACAUUUCAUCACUCAGGUAAGAAACAUGGGCACUGCUUCUAAAGACACUUUAUACAUGAAGUUACACAACUUGACUGUUGUCGGACAUAAUACACUUGGAUUCCAGGCUCUGUGCUUUUUGCUGUCGCUCUGCAUUGCCUACAGUUCCUGAGAGCAAUGGCUGGGUUGAAGUGACCUGCCUACAAUCACACAGUUAUGAAGUGGCAGGCCCCAGACAGCUCAGAUUCCAUAGCUUGUGCACUUUCUGCUGGGAUACAACUUACACCGGCAUCUUCCAUCAUGCUCCCCAAAGAGGUGGAGCUCCUAAGUAGUCAACCUUCAAAACCUGUGCUUGUCUCAACAUAUAUUGCCCACUGUUGUAGAGUCCUACCCUCUGAUCAACAUAGCUGCCAUCUUCCUUAGAUUAGCUGUGUCUAUUUUCAAGAGACCAUCCUGAUGGGCUUUGUUGACUGUUGGUAUUCCCACAUAGAUGAGAUUGUGUCCCCCAAUAUAUUGUGAACCUUAAUAAACUUAUCUGGGAUCAGAGAACAGAAC